RNAcentral lists this ribosomal RNA (253 nucleotides) under uncultured bacterium. RNAcentral's name for it is "partial 16S ribosomal RNA". It matches the Rfam family "Bacterial small subunit ribosomal RNA", at positions 524 to 776 of the family's 1533-position model. The record is from RNAcentral.
UACAGAGGUCUCGAGCGUUAGGCGGAAUCACUGGGCUUAAAGCGUGUGUAGGCGGGUCGUUAAGUGCCUUGUGAAAUCCCAUGGCUCAACCAUGGAACUGCUGGGCAUACUGGCGAUCUUGUGCCGCCUAGGGGCGAGCGGAACAGAUGGUGGAGCGGUGAAAUGCGUAGAUAUCAUCUGGAACGCCAAUGGUGAAAACAGCUCGCUGGGGGUGUGCAGACGCUGAGACACGAAAGCCAGGGGAGCGAACGGG